GGCCCCGUCUUCUAGCGGCUUAGGAUGCUGGCCCUUCAAGCCGGCGACAUGGGUCCAAAUCCCAUCGGGGCUG
This 73-nucleotide transfer RNA is filed under the name Phycisphaerae bacterium. RNAcentral's name for it is "tRNA-Glu". It matches the Rfam family "tRNA". Rfam says of the family: Transfer RNA (tRNA) molecules are approximately 80 nucleotides in length. The record is from RNAcentral. Lineage: Bacteria; Pseudomonadati; Planctomycetota; Phycisphaerae.